RNAcentral lists this ribosomal RNA (494 nucleotides) under uncultured bacterium. Its description in RNAcentral is "bacterial SSU rRNA". It matches the Rfam family "Bacterial small subunit ribosomal RNA", at positions 29 to 507 of the family's 1533-position model. The record is from RNAcentral.
ACGAACGCUGGCGGCGUGCUUAACACAUGGCAAGUGGAGCGACGAACCGGGGCUUGCCCCGGGGCAGAGCCGCGAACGGGUGAGUAACACGUGGGUAACCUGCCUCAAUGAUUGGGACAACCCGGGGAAACUCGGGCUAAUACCAAAUGUGUUCACUCCUUCUAAGGGGAGUGAGGAAAGGAAGCUUCGGCCUCCGCAUUGAGAUGGGCCCGCGGCCCAUUAGCUUGUUGGUGAGGUAACGGCUCACCAAGGCUUCGAUGGGUAGCUGGUCUGAGAGGACGAUCAGCCACACUGGGACUUGAGACACGGCCCAGACUCCUACGGGAGGCAGCAGUGGGGAAUCUUGCACAAUGCGCGAAAGCGUGAUGCAGCAACGCCGCGUGGGGGAAGACGGCCUUCGGGUUGUAAACCCCUUUCAGUUGGGACGAAGCUUCGUCGGUGAAUAGCCGGUUGGAGUGACGGUACCUUCAGAAGAAGCCCCGGCUAACUACGUG